Molecule: long non-coding RNA, 696 nt
Organism: Gallus gallus (chicken)
Lineage: Eukaryota; Metazoa; Chordata; Aves; Galliformes; Phasianidae
Source: Ensembl
GUGAGUGAUCUCCCUGUCUUUAUGUCAGCCAUCAAAUCUUUUCUAUCACAUUUGCUUCCUCUGUCAUUCUAAGGAGGAGGAGCUUGGUGCGGACCUGUCAGUCAGCUAAGGCUAAUACACCAGAAGAAUUCAAGACAGUGUUCAUUCACUGUAAAAAUGGAGCAAGGAGAUGUGUGUUAUGACAGAGAUACUAGAUCAGAGAAUCCAAUAUAAAGACUACUUGUUAUGUUUAUGAUUUCAAAAUUAAUGGAGCAUAAAAGAAUAAGUUUAAAUGCAAGUGAAGUGGACACAGGAAUGAGAAGACUAUUUUUUUGAGUCCUCAAGGAAGUUUUAUUUACGGAGCUGAGAGUUGUAAGGAAGUACUUCUGACUCCAGAGAAACUACGGACCUGACCUCUCUCUUAAAGAGAAAUUCUAUAAAUAUGAAAAGACAUGCUUUUAUAUGUUUCCUUUUGUAAUUUAUCCAGAUAGAGAGGAGUUAAUUAUAUGUUUGUCCAUCUUUAAUACUACUGGCUCAUGGACUAAAUGUGCAUCCAACAAUACUUGUUUCAGUGUCAUUCUUUUACCAAUGUGAUAUUCAAACCAAUUCUAGAAAGCCAAGAGCUGUUGUGUGAACGUAAAGUGGUACAGAUAUUUGCUAUUUCUUGUAUUGCAACUAUAAUAGCAUGACUACAGGGAUCUAAGGGCCAAGCUGGAG